This 397-nucleotide ribosomal RNA is filed under the name Rhodococcus sp. PDD-35b-37. RNAcentral's name for it is "bacterial SSU rRNA". It matches the Rfam family "Bacterial small subunit ribosomal RNA", at positions 79 to 491 of the family's 1533-position model. The record is from RNAcentral. Lineage: Bacteria; Bacillati; Actinomycetota; Actinomycetes; Mycobacteriales; Nocardiaceae.
CAUUACGGGUACACGAGCGGCGAACGGGUGAGUAACACGUGGGUGAUCUGCCCUGCCUCUGGGAUAAGCUUGGGAAACUGGGUCUAAUACCGGAUAUGACCACAGCAUGCAUGUGUUGUGGUGGAAAGAUUUAUCGGUGCAGGAUGGGCCCGCGGCCUAUCAGCUUGUUGGUGGGGUAAUGGCCUACCAAGGCGACGACGGGUAGCCGACCUGAGAGGGUGACCGGCCACACUGGGACUGAAACACGGCCCAGACUCCUACGGGAGGCAGCAGUGGGGAAUAUUGCACAAUGGGCGGAAGCCUGAUGCAGCGACGCCGCGUGAGGGAUGAAUGCCUUCGGGUUGUAAACCUCUUUCAGCAGGGACGAAGCGUGAGUGACGGUACCUGCAAAAAAAGC